Molecule: ribosomal RNA, 863 nt
Filed under: uncultured bacterium
Lineage: Bacteria
Description: bacterial SSU rRNA
Rfam family: Bacterial small subunit ribosomal RNA
Source: RNAcentral
AGAGUUUGAUCAUGGCUCAGGACGAACGCUGGCGGCGUGCCUAAUGCAUGCAAGUCGCACGGAGCCUUCGGGCUCAGUGGCGCACGGCUGAGGAACACGUGGGAAUGUGCCCAUUGGUGGGGGAUAACGGGCCGAAAGGUCCGCUAAGCCCGCAUACGCUCGCAAGAGGAAAGGCGCAAGUCGCCGAUGGAGCAGCCCGCGGCCCAUCAGGUCGUUGGUGGGGUAACGGCCCACCAAGCCGAUGACGGGUAGCUGGUCUGAGAGGACAGACAGCCAGACUGGGACUGAGACACGGCCCAGACUCCUACGGGAGGCAGCAGCAAGGAAUUUUCGUCAAUGGGCGCAAGCCUGAACGAGCAACGCCGCGUGCAGGAUGACGGCUUUCGGGUUGUAAACUGCUUUUGGGGGGGACGAUAAUGACGGUACCCUCCGAAUAAGCCCCGGCUCACUCUGUACCAGCAGCCGCGGUAAUACAGAGGGGGCAAGCGUUGUCCGGACUUACUGGGUGUAAAGCGCAUGCAGGUGGCCUGACAAGUAUGCUGUGAAAGCCCCGUGCUUAACACGGGGAGGCCAGUAUAGACUGUCAAGCUCGAGGACUGCAGAGGGUAGGGGAAUUGCUGGUGUAGUGGUGAAAUGCGUAGAGAUCAGCAGGAAUACCAAUGCCGAAGGGACCUACCUGGGCAGUAUCUGACACUCAAGUGCGACAGCGUGGGGAGCGAACCGGAUUAGAUACCCGGGUAGUCCACGCCGUAAACGAUGGAUGCUCGGCGUUUGGGGGGGAAACCUCCUGGGCGCCUCAGCUGACGCGGAAGCAUCCCACCUGGGAACUACGAGCGCAAGCUUAAAACUCAAGGAAUUGACGG